Gossypium raimondii (Peruvian cotton) is the source of this 102-nucleotide non-coding RNA. The record is from Rfam. Lineage: Eukaryota; Viridiplantae; Streptophyta; Magnoliopsida; Malvales; Malvaceae.
AUGCAUCGGGCAUUUUCUAAUUAAUUCCUUGAACUGCUCCCAUGCUUCGUAUAAUGUCUCAUCUUCAGAUUGUCUAAACAAUGUAAUAUCAUUCCUUAACUU